GGUAAAGUCUCCUGCACCUCUAUCACUGGAGACACUCGGUCAUGCUGUGGGUUUGAGCUCAAACCUUAGACGUUUUAUCGUCGAGAGUGUGAUGUGAGGGAGGGUUAGAUGCCC
This 114-nucleotide non-coding RNA is filed under the name Paenibacillus senegalensis. RNAcentral's name for it is "epsC RNA". It matches the Rfam family "epsC RNA". Lineage: Bacteria; Bacillati; Bacillota; Bacilli; Caryophanales; Paenibacillaceae. The record is from RNAcentral.